GACGAACGCUGGCGGCGUGCUUAACACAUGCAAGUCGAACGGUGAAGCCCCAGCUUGCUGGAGUGGAUCAGUGGCGAACGGGUGAGUAACACGUGAGCAACCUGCCCCUGACUCUGGAAUAAGCGCUGGAAACGGCGUCUAAUACUGGAUACGAGAAGGGUCCGCAUGGGCACUUUCUGGAAAGUUCUUCGGUUGGGGAUGGGCUCGCGGCCUAUCAGCUUGUUGGUGAGGUAAUGGCUCACCAAGGCGACGACGGGUAGCCGGCCUGAGAGGGCGACCGGCCACACUGGGACUGAGACACGGCCCAGACUCCUACGGGAGGCAGCAGUGGGGAAUAUUGCACAAUGGGCGAAAGCCUGAUGCAGCGACGCCGCGUGAGGGAUGACGGCCUUCGGGUUGUAAACCUCUUUCAGCAGGGAAGAAGCGAAAGUGACGGUACCUGCAGAAGAAGCACCGGCUAACUACGUG
This 468-nucleotide ribosomal RNA is filed under the name uncultured bacterium. RNAcentral describes it as "partial 16S ribosomal RNA". It matches the Rfam family "Bacterial small subunit ribosomal RNA", at positions 28 to 507 of the family's 1533-position model. The record is from RNAcentral.